GAUGAACGCUGGCGGCGUGCCUAAUACAUGCAAGUCGAACGCACAGCGAAAGGUGCUUGCACCUUUCAAGUGAGUGGCGAACGGGUGAGUAACACGUGGACAACCUGCCUCAAGGCUGGGGAUAACAUUUGGAAACAGAUGCUAAUACCGAAUAAAACUCAGUGUCGCAUGACACAAAGUUAAAAGGCGCUUUGGCGUCACCUAGAGAUGGAUCCGCGGUGCAUUAGUUAGUUGGUGGGGUAAAGGCCUACCAAGACAAUGAUGCAUAGCCGAGUUGAGCGACUGAUCGGCCACAUGGGGACUGAGACACGGCCCAAACUCCUACGGGAGGCUGCAGUAGGGAAUCUUCCACAAUGGGCGAAAGCCUGAUGGAGCAACGCCGCGUGUGUGAUGAAGGCUUUCGGGUCGUAAAGCACUGUUGUAUGGGAAGAACAGCUAGAAUAGGGAAUGAUUUUAGUUUGACGGUACCAUACCAGAAAGGGACGGCUAAAUACGUGCCAGCCGCCGCCGUAA
RNAcentral lists this ribosomal RNA (513 nucleotides) under uncultured bacterium. Its description in RNAcentral is "partial 16S ribosomal RNA". It matches the Rfam family "Bacterial small subunit ribosomal RNA", at positions 28 to 523 of the family's 1533-position model. The record is from RNAcentral.